Non-coding RNA from Acanthosepion pharaonis, 110 nucleotides. The record is from the annotation of a GenBank genome assembly. Lineage: Eukaryota; Metazoa; Mollusca; Cephalopoda; Sepiida; Sepiidae.
UGAUUAUAUCGUUUUGAAACACCAGUUCUCGUGAGAUCAGCGAAGUUAAACAACACCAAGCCUGGUCAGUAUCUAAAUGGGUGACCGCUUGCGGAUACCAGGUGCUGUAA